This 626-nucleotide long non-coding RNA is filed under the name Musa acuminata (dwarf banana). Its description in RNAcentral is "long non-coding RNA (MACU_LNC010288)". Lineage: Eukaryota; Viridiplantae; Streptophyta; Magnoliopsida; Zingiberales; Musaceae. The record is from RNAcentral.
UUUUUUUGGUAAGUAAAAGUAAAUUGAUUGUGUAAAGUUUCUACAAAUAGCUUUAUCUAUACAAGUCAUAGAGAAAGCCAAGUAACUCAUAGAGUGUGAAUGCGAUAGUUAUGACUACACAUGUUGUAGACUAUAACUACCUGUGGGUACAUUAUUUGGCAUCAUUCCCAAGAUCUUUAGCUAAUAGCAAAAUUAAAUUUGAUAAAAAUAUCUUUUUCUCUUCGGGUGAAGUGCUCGGUUUUGAGAUCAUGCUCCAUACAGGAUCUUGAGUCUCUAAUAAUCUCUUUCAAGAGCUGAGCAUUGUUUGUGUGUUGACAUUCAAAGAUUCUAUUACAUCUCUCCUUCCACAUCCACCAAAUAGCGCAUCUGAAAGUAACCUUUGCCAGUUGUGUAAGUGGCCCUUUUCUUGAGAAACAUUGCAUAAGGUCGCCUAGUUCUUGGUGCAAGUUUGGUUGCGGCAGUCUAUUGAGUUUAAAUCGCUGGAGAAUCUCCUUCCAUAUCUAUUUUGUAUAAUUACAAGCAAAAUAGAGGUGGUCAACAGUUUCUUCUUGUUGCAAACAAAGGGAGCAUCGGUUAACAUGAUAGAUACCUCUUCUUUUCAUAUUGUCUAUUGUAGGUAGUUUAUU